GAUGAACGCUGGCGGCGUGCCUAAUACAUGCAAGUCGAGCGAACAGACGAGGAGCUUGCUCCUCUGACGUUAGCGGCGGACGGGUGAGUAACACGUGGAUAACCUACCUAUAAGACUGGGAUAACUUCGGGACACCGGAGCUAAUACCGGAUCAUAUAUUGAACCGCAUGGUUCAAUAGUGAAAGACGGUUUUGCUGUCACUUAUAGAUGGAUCCGCGCCGCAUUAGCUAGUUGGUAAGGUAACGGCUUACCAAGGCAACGAUGCGUAGCCGACCUGAGAGGGUGAUCGGCCACACUGGAACGGAGACACGGUCCAGACUCCUACGGGAGGCAGCAGUAGGGAAUCUUCCGCAAUGGGCGAAAGCCUGACGGAGCAACGCCGCGUGAGUGAUGAAGGUCUUCGGAUCGUAAAGCUCUGUUAUUAGGGAAGAACAAAUGUGUAAGUAACUAUGCACGUCUUGACGGUACCUAAUCAGAAAGCCACGGCUAACUACGUG
Molecule: ribosomal RNA, 497 nt
Filed under: uncultured bacterium
Lineage: Bacteria
Description: partial 16S ribosomal RNA
Rfam family: Bacterial small subunit ribosomal RNA
Source: RNAcentral